This 520-nucleotide ribosomal RNA is filed under the name uncultured bacterium. Its description in RNAcentral is "partial 16S ribosomal RNA". It matches the Rfam family "Bacterial small subunit ribosomal RNA", at positions 29 to 523 of the family's 1533-position model. The record is from RNAcentral.
AGCGAACGUUAGCGGCGGGCCUAACACAUGCAAGUCGAACGAGAAUGUAGACUUCGGUCUACUAGUAAAGUGGCGGACGGGUGCGUAACACGUGGGUAAUCUACCUUCCGGCGGGGGACAACAGUCCGAAAGGAUUGCUAAUACCGCGUACGUCAGCGGCGCCUACGGGCGCUGUUGGGAAAGAUGGCCUCUCCUUGGAAGCUAUCACCGGAAGAUGAGCCCGCGUCCCAUCAGCUAGUUGGUGAGGUAAUGGCUCACCAAGGCUAAGACGGGUAGCUGGUCUGAGAGGAUGAUCAGCCACACUGGGACUGCGACACGGCCCAGACUCCUACGGGAGGCAGCAGUGGGGAAUAUUGGGCAGUGGGCGAAAGCCUGACCCAGCCACGCCGCGUGAGUGAUGAAGGCCUUCGGGUCGUAAAGCUCUGUGGGGAGGGACGAACAAGCCUGGGGCUAAUCACCCGGGACCUGACGGUACCUCCUUAGCAAGCACCGGCUAACCCUGUGCCAGCCGCCGCCGUAA